UACGUAGGGGGCAAGCGUUGUCCGGAAUCAUUGGGCGUAAAGAGCGUGUAGGCGGCCAGAAAAGUCCGCUGUGAAAACUCGAGGCUCAACUUCGAGCUGUCGGUGGAAACUUUCUGGCUAGAGUCCGGAAGAGGAGAAUGGAAUUCCUGGUGUAGUGGUGAAAUGCGUAGAGAUCCGGAGGAACACCAGUGGCGAAGGCGACACGCUGGGCCGUACCUGACACUGAGGCGCGAUAGCAUGGGGAGCAAACAGG
This 253-nucleotide ribosomal RNA is filed under the name uncultured bacterium. Its description in RNAcentral is "partial 16S ribosomal RNA". It matches the Rfam family "Bacterial small subunit ribosomal RNA", at positions 524 to 776 of the family's 1533-position model. The record is from RNAcentral.